Molecule: ribosomal RNA, 253 nt
Filed under: uncultured bacterium
Lineage: Bacteria
Description: partial 16S ribosomal RNA
Rfam family: Bacterial small subunit ribosomal RNA
Source: RNAcentral
UACGUAGGGUGCAAGCGUUGUCCGGAAUCACUGGGCGUAAAGCGCACGUAGGCGGAUUGCUAAGUCAGGGGUGAAAUCCUGGAGCUCAACUCCAGAACUGCCCUUGAUACUGGCGGUCUCGAGUCCGGGAGAAGUGAGUGGAACUGCGAGUGUAGAGGUGAAAUUCGUAGAUAUUCGCAAGAACACCAGUGGCGAAGGCGGCUCACUGGCCCGGUACUGACGCUGAGGUGCGAAAGCGUGGGGAGCAAACAGG